RNAcentral lists this transfer RNA (65 nucleotides) under Arcyptera meridionalis. RNAcentral describes it as "tRNA-Cys". Lineage: Eukaryota; Metazoa; Arthropoda; Insecta; Orthoptera; Acrididae. The record is from RNAcentral.
GGCUUUAUAUUCAAUUAUGAUUUUAGACUGCAAUUCUAAAGGUGUAAGAGCUUUUACUAAGGCCU